GGGCCUGUAGCUCAGUUGGGAGAGCGCAUGAAUCGCACUCAUGAGGUCGGCGGUUCGAGCCCGCCCAGGUCCACCA
RNAcentral lists this transfer RNA (76 nucleotides) under Armatimonadia bacterium. RNAcentral's name for it is "tRNA-Ala". It matches the Rfam family "tRNA". Rfam says of the family: Transfer RNA (tRNA) molecules are approximately 80 nucleotides in length. Their secondary structure includes four short double-helical elements and three loops (D, anti-codon, and T loops). Further hydrogen bonds mediate the characteristic L-shaped molecular structure. tRNAs have two regions of fundamental functional importance: the anti-codon, which is responsible for specific mRNA codon recognition, and the 3' end, to which the tRNAs corresponding amino acid is attached (by aminoacyl-tRNA synthetases). tRNAs cope with the degeneracy of the genetic code in two manners: having more than one tRNA (with a specific anti-codon) for a particular amino acid; and 'wobble' base-pairing, i.e. permitting non-standard base-pairing at the 3rd anti-codon position. The record is from RNAcentral. Lineage: Bacteria; Bacillati; Armatimonadota; Armatimonadia.